CCCUGGCUGACUCAGUCAGUAGAGCACAUGACUCUUGAUCUUGAGGUUGUGAGUUCAAGCCCCAUGUUGGGAG
This 73-nucleotide transfer RNA is filed under the name Canis lupus familiaris (dog). It matches the Rfam family "tRNA". Rfam says of the family: Transfer RNA (tRNA) molecules are approximately 80 nucleotides in length. RNAcentral also lists the same sequence under 2 other names. The record is from Rfam by way of RNAcentral. Lineage: Eukaryota; Metazoa; Chordata; Mammalia; Carnivora; Canidae.